CGCGGCCUAUCAGCUUGUUGGUGAGGUAAUGGCUCACCAAGGCGACGACGGGUAGCCGGCCUGAGAGGGUGACCGGCCACACUGGGACUGAGACACGGCCCAGACUCCUACGGGAGGCAGCAGUGGGGAAUAUUGCACAAUGGGCGCAAGCCUGAUGCAGCGACGCCGCGUGAGGGAUGACGGCCUUCGGGUUGUAAACCUCUUUCAGUAGGGACGAAGCGCAAGUGACGGUACCCAGAGAAGAAGCCCCGGCCAACUACGUGCCAGCAGCCGCGGUAAUACGUAGGGUGCAAGCGUUGUCCGGAAUUAUUGGGCGUAAAGAGCUCGUAGGCGGUCUGUCGCGUCGGCUGUGAAAACUCGGGGCUCAACCCUGGGCCUGCAUUCGAUACGGGCAGACUAGAGUUCGGUAGGGGAGACUGGAAUUCCUGGUGUAGCGGUGAAAUGCGCAGAUAUCAGGAGGAACACCGGUGGCGAAGGCGGGUCUCUGGGCCGAUACUGACGCUGAGGAGCGAAAGCGUGGGGAGCGAACAGGAUUAGAUACCCUGGUAGUCCACGCUGUAAACGUUGGGCGCUAGGUGUGGGGGGCCUCUCCGGUUCCCUGUGCCGCAGCUAACGCAUUAAGCGCCCCGCCUGGGGAGUACGG
RNAcentral lists this ribosomal RNA (643 nucleotides) under uncultured Actinomycetes bacterium. Its description in RNAcentral is "bacterial SSU rRNA". It matches the Rfam family "Bacterial small subunit ribosomal RNA", at positions 232 to 885 of the family's 1533-position model. Lineage: Bacteria; Bacillati; Actinomycetota; Actinomycetes. The record is from RNAcentral.